AUUGAACGCUGGCGGCAUGCUUUACACAUGCAAGUCGAACGGCAGCACGGGCUUCGGCCUGGUGGCGAGUGGCGAACGGGUGAGUAAUAUAUCGGAACGUACCCAGAAGUGGGGGAUAACGUAGCGAAAGUUACGCUAAUACCGCAUACGAUCUAUGGAUGAAAGCAGGGGACCGCAAGGCCUUGUGCUCCUGGAGCGGCCGAUAUCUGAUUAGCUAGUUGGUGAGGUAAAGGCUCACCAAGGCGACGAUCAGUAGCUGGUCUGAGAGGACGACCAGCCAAACUGGAACUGGGACAAGGGCCCGACUCCCAAGGGAGGCAAGAGUGGGGAAUUUUGGACAAAGGGCGCAAGCCUGAUCCAGCAAUGCCGCGUGAGUGAAGAAGGCCUUCGGGUUGUAAAGCUCUUUUGUCAGGGAAGAAACGGUAGAGGCUAAUAUCCUUUGCUAAUGACGGUACCUGAAGAAUAAGCACCGGCUAACUACGUG
Molecule: ribosomal RNA, 484 nt
Filed under: uncultured bacterium
Lineage: Bacteria
Description: partial 16S ribosomal RNA
Rfam family: Bacterial small subunit ribosomal RNA
Source: RNAcentral